UCAGAGACUGAAAAAUAACAAAUACGCAUUAAAGUUUCUUAAAAAAAAACUUAUAGAAGUUGGCAAAAUCGCAUCAAUGCCAAGUUUGAUAAUUAAGUAAUUUUCCAUUUUGCCUGGGUUCAUUAAUUAAUAACAUUUUAAUAUCUACAUAAUUGCUUUAAGUAAUGAAAGUUAAGUGCAAGCAAUAAACCAAGCUAACAAUAGGUAUCAAACAUUUCAAUCUGUUACAUUUUUCCCUUGGUUUAUGAAAUAGUUUAUGAAAAGUCUAACUUUUGUCUGACUUAACCAUGCAAAGGUAUCCAAAAUGGUAUCCAAGUCUUUAAGCAUCAAAUCUAAGGAAAUGGGAUGUAAUGCCUGGAGGUGCAGUAGCCAUAAGGUGGUCAUUAGGUGACACAUUUAAGGACAAAAACAAUGUUAACUGCUCAGCAUGAAAAUC
Long non-coding RNA from Sapajus apella (tufted capuchin), 436 nucleotides. RefSeq lists it as uncharacterized. The record is from RefSeq and is a predicted model, not a curated record. NCBI's taxonomy places the organism in Eukaryota, Metazoa, Chordata, Mammalia, Primates, Cebidae. The transcript is spliced from 2 exons.